This 1822-nucleotide ribosomal RNA is filed under the name Campylobacter jejuni. RNAcentral's name for it is "partial 23S ribosomal RNA". It matches the Rfam family "Bacterial large subunit ribosomal RNA", at positions 1116 to 2925 of the family's 2925-position model. The record is from RNAcentral. Lineage: Bacteria; Pseudomonadati; Campylobacterota; Epsilonproteobacteria; Campylobacterales; Campylobacteraceae.
CCAUCCUUUAAAGAAAGCGUAAUAGCUCACUGGUCUAGUGAUUUUGCGCGGAAAAUAUAACGGGGCUAAAGUAAGUACCGAAGCUGUAGACUUAGUUUACUAAGUGGUAGGAGAGCGUUCUAUUUGCGUCGAAGGUAUACCGGUAAGGAGUGCUGGAGCGAAUAGAAGUGAGCAUGCAGGCAUGAGUAGCGAUAAUUAAUGUGAGAAUCAUUAACGCCGUAAACCCAAGGUUUCCUACGCGAUGCUCGUCAUCGUAGGGUUAGUCGGGUCCUAAGUCGAGUCCGAAAGGGGUAGACGAUGGCAAAUUGGUUAAUAUUCCAAUACCAACAUUAGUGUGCGAUGGAAGGACGCUUAGGGCUAAGGGGGCUAGCGGAUGGAAGUGCUAGUCUAAGGUCGUAGGAGGUUGUACAGGCAAAUCCGUAUAACAAUACUCCGAGAACUGAAAGGCUUUUUGAAGUCUUCGGAUGGAUAGAAGAACCCCUGAUGCUGUCGAGCCAAGAAAAGUUUCUAAGUUUAGCUAAUGUUGCCCGUACCGUAAACCGACACAGGUGGGUGGGAUGAGUAUUCUAAGGCGCGUGGAAGAACUCUCUUUAAGGAACUCUGCAAAAUAGCACCGUAUCUUCGGUAUAAGGUGUGGUUAGCUUUGUAUUAGGAUUUACUCCGAAAGCAAGGAAACUUACAACAAAGAGUCCCUCCCGACUGUUUACCAAAAACACAGCACUCUGCUAACUCGUAAGAGGAUGUAUAGGGUGUGACGCCUGCCCGGUGCUCGAAGGUUAAUUGAUGGGGUUAGCAUUAGCGAAGCUCUUGAUCGAAGCCCGAGUAAACGGCGGCCGUAACUAUAACGGUCCUAAGGUAGCGAAAUUCCUUGUCGGUUAAAUACCGACCUGCAUGAAUGGCGUAACGAGAUGGGAGCUGUCUCAAAGAGGGAUCCAGUGAAAUUGUAGUGGAGGUGAAAAUUCCUCCUACCCGCGGCAAGACGGAAAGACCCCGUGGACCUUUACUACAGCUUGACACUGCUACUUGGAUAAGAAUGUGCAGGAUAGGUGGGAGGCUUUGAGUAUAUGACGCCAGUUGUAUAUGAGCCAUUGUUGAGAUACCACUCUUUCUUAUUUGGGUAGCUAACCAGCUUGAGUUAUCCUCAAGUGGGACAAUGUCUGGUGGGUAGUUUGACUGGGGCGGUCGCCUCCCAAAUAAUAACGGAGGCUUACAAAGGUUGGCUCAGAACGGUUGGAAAUCGUUCGUAGAGUAUAAAGGUAUAAGCCAGCUUAACUGCAAGACAUACAAGUCAAGCAGAGACGAAAGUCGGUCUUAGUGAUCCGGUGGUUCUGUGUGGAAGGGCCAUCGCUCAAAGGAUAAAAGGUACCCCGGGGAUAACAGGCUGAUCUCCCCCAAGAGCUCACAUCGACGGGGAGGUUUGGCACCUCGAUGUCGGCUCAUCGCAUCCUGGGGCUGGAGCAGGUCCCAAGGGUAUGGCUGUUCGCCAUUUAAAGCGGUACGCGAGCUGGGUUCAGAACGUCGUGAGACAGUUCGGUCCCUAUCUGCCGUGGGCGUAAGAAGAUUGAAGAGAUUUGACCCUAGUACGAGAGGACCGGGUUGAACAAACCACUGGUGUAGCUGUUGUUCUGCCAAGAGCAUCGCAGCGUAGCUAAGUUUGGAAAGGAUAAACGCUGAAAGCAUCUAAGCGUGAAGCCAACUCUAAGAUGAAUCUUCUCUAAGCUCUCUAGAAGACUACUAGUUUGAUAGGCUGGGUGUGUAAUGGAUGAAAGUCCUUUAGCUGACCAGUACUAAUAGAGCGUUUGGCUUAUCUUUAAUAAAGCAU